This 158-nucleotide ribosomal RNA is filed under the name Codonanthopsis dissimulata. RNAcentral's name for it is "5.8S ribosomal RNA". It matches the Rfam family "5.8S ribosomal RNA". From Rfam's summary of the family: 5.8S ribosomal RNA (5.8S rRNA) is a component of the large subunit of the eukaryotic ribosome. It is transcribed by RNA polymerase I as part of the 45S precursor that also contains 18S and 28S rRNA. Functionally, it is thought that 5.8S rRNA may be involved in ribosome translocation. Lineage: Eukaryota; Viridiplantae; Streptophyta; Magnoliopsida; Lamiales; Gesneriaceae. The record is from RNAcentral.
AAAUGACUCUCGGCAACGGAUAUCUCGGCUCUCGCAUCGAUGAAGAACGUAGCGAAAUGCGAUACUUGGUGUGAAUUGCAGAAUCCCGUGAACCAUCGAGUCUUUGAACGCAAGUUGCGCCUGAAGCCAUUAGGUUGAGGGCACGCCUGCCUGGGCGU